UACGGAGGGUGCAAGCGUUAUCCGGAUUCACUGGGUUUAAAGGGUGCGCAGGCGGGCUUGUAAGUCAGUGGUGAAAGCCCGGGGCUUAACUCCGGAAUUGCCGUUGAUACUGCAAGCCUUGAGUACGGUUGAGGUGGGCGGAAUACAUCAUGUAGUGGUGAAAUACUUAGAUAUGAUGUAGAAAACCGAUUGCGAAGGCAGCUCACUAAAGCGUAACUGACGCUGAGGCACGAAAGCAUGGGGAUCAAACAGG
Molecule: ribosomal RNA, 253 nt
Filed under: uncultured bacterium
Lineage: Bacteria
Description: partial 16S ribosomal RNA
Rfam family: Bacterial small subunit ribosomal RNA
Source: RNAcentral